RNAcentral lists this ribosomal RNA (253 nucleotides) under uncultured bacterium. Its description in RNAcentral is "partial 16S ribosomal RNA". It matches the Rfam family "Bacterial small subunit ribosomal RNA", at positions 524 to 776 of the family's 1533-position model. The record is from RNAcentral.
UACAGAGGGGGCAAGCGUUGUUCGGAAUUACUGGGCGUAAAGUGCGCGUAGGCGGCCUGCUAAGUCGAACGUGAAAUCCCUGGGCUCAACCCAGGAACUGCGUCCGAUACUGGUUGGCUUGAAUCCGGGAGAGGGAUGUGGAAUUCCAGGUGUAGCGGUGAAAUGCGUAGAUAUCUGGAGGAACACCGGUGGCGAAGGCGACAUCCUGGACCGGUAUUGACGCUGAGGCGCGAAAGCCAGGGGAGCAAACGGG